Molecule: ribosomal RNA, 1187 nt
Filed under: Streptomyces coeruleofuscus
Lineage: Bacteria; Bacillati; Actinomycetota; Actinomycetes; Kitasatosporales; Streptomycetaceae
Description: bacterial SSU rRNA
Rfam family: Bacterial small subunit ribosomal RNA
Source: RNAcentral
CCCAGGCGCGGCUUACCAUGCAAGUCGAACGAUGAACCACUUCGGUGGGGAUUAGUGGCGAACGGGUGAGUAACACGUGGGCAAUCUGCCCUGCACUCUGGGACAAGCCCUGGAAACGGGGUCUAAUACCGGAUAUGAGCCUUCACCGCAUGGUGAGGGCUGUAAAGCUCCGGCGGUGCAGGAUGAGCCCGCGGCCUAUCAGCUUGUUGGUGAGGUAACGGCUCACCAAGGCGACGACGGGUAGCCGGCCUGAGAGGGCGACCGGCCACACUGGGACUGAGACACGGCCCAGACUCCUACGGGAGGCAGCAGUGGGGAAUAUUGCACAAUGGGCGAAAGCCUGAUGCAGCGACGCCGCGUGAGGGAUGACGGCCUUCGGGUUGUAAACCUCUUUCAGCAGGGAAGAAGCGAAAGUGACGGUACCUGCAGAAGAAGCGCCGGCUAACUACGUGCCAGCAGCCGCGGUAAUACGUAGGGCGCAAGCGUUGUCCGGAAUUAUUGGGCGUAAAGAGCUCGUAGGCGGCUUGUCACGUCGGUUGUGAAAGCCCGGGGCUUAACCCCGGGUCUGCAGUCGAUACGGGCAGGCUAGAGUUCGGUAGGGGAGAUCGGAAUUCCUGGUGUAGCGGUGAAAUGCGCAGAUAUCAGGAGGAACACCGGUGGCGAAGGCGGAUCUCUGGGCCGAUACUGACGCUGAGGAGCGAAAGCGUGGGGAGCGAACAGGAUUAGAUACCCUGGUAGUCCACGCCGUAAACGGUGGGCACUAGGUGUGGGCAACAUUCCACGUUGUCCGUGCCGCAGCUAACGCAUUAAGUGCCCCGCCUGGGGAGUACGGCCGCAAGGCUAAAACUCAAAGGAAUUGACGGGGGCCCGCACAAGCGGCGGAGCAUGUGGCUUAAUUCGACGCAACGCGAAGAACCUUACCAAGGCUUGACAUACACCGGAAACGGCCAGAGAUGGUCGCCCCCUUGUGGUCGGUGUACNGGUGGUGCAUGGCUGUCGUCAACUCGUGUCGGGAGAUGUUGGGUUAAGUCCCGCACCGAGCGCAACCCUUGUCCCGUGUUGCCAGCAGGCCCUUGUGGUGCUGGGGAACUCACCGGAAAACCACCGGGGUCAAUUCGAAGAAAGGGGGGGACGACCUCAAGUCAUCAUGCCCCUUAGUUCUUGGGCUUGCNACGNGCCACAAUGGC